UCCUUCAUCCCCUGAAGGCCAAGGGUUGGGUGAUGCUUGACGUUGCACUGCCACUGCUACUUCAGGCUGGAGAUAAGGGAAAAGCUUUCCACCAUGAGCAAUAUCUGUCGUUGGAGGUUUCCAAGACCCACGCAAAGAGGAGAAAGCCCCACUCAACCUGGUCUGAGCCCAGCGCUGCCCAUGCUGUGAGUAGGAUGGUGGAGUUGGGGUCUCCUGUGGUUCCUUCCAACCUGAAUUAUCCCAGCAUCUUCUGCUCAGCGGAUCCCCACAGACCGGGGUCAGAGUGAAGGUGCAAAGCCAUGUCAGCGAUGGAGCAGCCCAGACCUACAGCAACCAGGGCAGGUCUUUUUGGGAAGGAGAAGCUGAG
Molecule: long non-coding RNA, 367 nt
Filed under: Gallus gallus (chicken)
Lineage: Eukaryota; Metazoa; Chordata; Aves; Galliformes; Phasianidae
Description: lncRNA (ENSGALG00010003704.1)
Source: RNAcentral